CAUUCGCAAGCCGGAACGAAAAGCACUUGGAAAGCUAAUGUUUUCAAAGCGCUUUUGGCGAGUGAUGUGAUGUGAUGUGAUGUGAUGUGAUGUUGUGUUGUGUUUGCAGAUUGGGCCGCGAAUGCGGGCCGCUUAACGUUUAAAUCCAUUUUAGGAUACAUUUUUCUGUCUGUCCAUAGACAAAAGUAGCACCGCGCCUGCGGUGCUUUUUUUG
This 214-nucleotide non-coding RNA is filed under the name Candidatus Sodalis pierantonii str. SOPE. Its description in RNAcentral is "primary endosymbiont of Sitophilus oryzae GcvB RNA". It matches the Rfam family "GcvB RNA". From Rfam's summary of the family: The gcvB gene encodes a small untranslated RNA involved in expression of the dipeptide and oligopeptide transport systems in Escherichia coli. Included several unknown homologues in alignment (Bateman A pers obs). The record is from Rfam by way of RNAcentral. Lineage: Bacteria; Pseudomonadati; Pseudomonadota; Gammaproteobacteria; Enterobacterales; Bruguierivoracaceae.